CGUAGCUCAGCUGGUAGAGCAACUGACUUUUAAUCAGUAGGUCCAGGGUUCGAAUCCCUGCG
RNAcentral lists this transfer RNA (62 nucleotides) under marine eukaryotic metagenome. It matches the Rfam family "tRNA", at positions 6 to 65 of the family's 71-position model. From Rfam's summary of the family: Transfer RNA (tRNA) molecules are approximately 80 nucleotides in length. Their secondary structure includes four short double-helical elements and three loops (D, anti-codon, and T loops). Further hydrogen bonds mediate the characteristic L-shaped molecular structure. tRNAs have two regions of fundamental functional importance: the anti-codon, which is responsible for specific mRNA codon recognition, and the 3' end, to which the tRNAs corresponding amino acid is attached (by aminoacyl-tRNA synthetases). tRNAs cope with the degeneracy of the genetic code in two manners: having more than one tRNA (with a specific anti-codon) for a particular amino acid; and 'wobble' base-pairing, i.e. permitting non-standard base-pairing at the 3rd anti-codon position. The record is from RNAcentral.